AUUGAACGCUGGCGGCAUGCCUUACACAUGCAAGUCGAACGGUAACGGGCCUUCGGGUGCCGACGAGUGGCGAACGGGUGAGUAAUGCAUCGGAACGUACCUUUCAGUGGGGGAUAACGUAGCGAAAGUUACGCUAAUACCGCAUAUUCUGUGAGCAGGAAAGCAGGGGAUCGCAAGACCUUGCGCUGAUUGAGCGGCCGAUGUCAGAUUAGCUAGUUGGUGAGGUAAAAGGCUCACCAAGGCGACGAUCUGUAGCGGGUCUGAGAGGAUGAUCCGCCACACUGGAACUGAGACACGGUCCAGACUCCUACGGGAGGCAGCAGUGGGGAAUUUUGGACAAUGGGGGCAACCCUGAUCCAGCCAUGCCGCGUGAGUGAAGAAGGCCUCGGGUUGGUAAAGACGUCUUUCGGUCCCGGGGAACGGAAAUACGCAUGGGUUAAGU
This 442-nucleotide ribosomal RNA is filed under the name uncultured bacterium. Its description in RNAcentral is "bacterial SSU rRNA". It matches the Rfam family "Bacterial small subunit ribosomal RNA", at positions 30 to 502 of the family's 1533-position model. The record is from RNAcentral.